AACUAUAUGGUGUAAUACCUAAAAAUAAUUCAAGAAUUCAGAAUAAUGUUUUCAUGUCGGUAAAUAGAAUUACCGUAUUUAUCCGUGUUUUUGACAGGUCCGUCCGUGGACCGUACGGACGGCAAAAUUACUGUACCGCCCCAACCGAGACUGUACGGCUGGCAACACUGACCACAGUGCAAAAGUCAAAUAAACGUAUAACGGACAUUUAUUACACAUUACGGCAGCAACGUAGGUGUGUGUGCGCGUGCGUGCGUGCGCGCGCGCGUGGGUGGGUAUGGAUUAUAACGCCCGUUCGAAUUCCAUUGCUGUCCGAAAUACCCCAUGCAUGUGUAAGUGCGCACCCCUAACCUUUUCGUCAUUUCCGAUGACUUUAAAUUGUACGUACAGCUUUCGAAAUUAUUUCCGAAUUUCUCCAUUAACGCCACCAUCCCCUCCUACCACAUCAAUGUCGCUUCGCGCAAGACAACCGCCGACACCACUACCACAACAAUUCUCGCAUCACGCUGCUCAACACACCGCCGCCCAAACAACCACUACUGUCUCCCGCUACAUCUACCACUAAUAAUUAUUUUAUAGAUAUAUUGAAUAAUAUAUCUAUAAUAAUAAAAAAUUAUAAAGAAAACCAGAGAAUGAUACAAAGUACAAACUUUAGAAAACAGCGAAAUAAACAGAAAGUAUGCGGAAAACAUUCGACAAAAUCUUGAAAGAAUUAUCUUAGAAAUCGCAGAUAACGCUAAUGACGAUAUAAACAGUAGAUGGAGACUAAUAAAACACGAAGUGACUAACAGCGCAAAUGUGGCUGGCCAAAUUUAAUUUAUAGUCUAAAUCAGGACGACGCUUUUGGCAUGGAUGUAAAACAUAGGACUAUAUGCAGUUGGAUGAAAUUGAAGAAACAUCAGGUGUUAUAUGAGAAAAUUUCAAUGAGGCUAAAAGGUAAAUUGAAAUUUUACAGGAGUGUAUUGAAACUAACUAUGCAUCACUAUGGUUCAGAGAGUUGGGUGGUUAACAGAAGAAUAGAACAAAGUAUGAGUGUGGCGGAAAUGAGAAUGCUUAGAAUGAGUGGAGUGGCAAGAGAAGAUAGUAUAAGGAACGAAUAUGUGAAAGGUAGUAUUGGUGUAUUAUAGAAAAUAAUAAUCAAAUGUUAAAAUAAAUCCGUCAUGUACUUUUUUGGUUAGCUAAUUUCUCAUCAUUAAAAAUAUUACUUUUAGUAUUUCAUUAAAUCAGCAUUUCUCAAACUGUGGGUCGCGAGUCAA
This is an RNA transcript of Sipha flava (yellow sugarcane aphid), 1256 nucleotides long. RefSeq lists it as uncharacterized. NCBI's taxonomy places the organism in Eukaryota, Metazoa, Arthropoda, Insecta, Hemiptera, Aphididae. The transcript has 2 exons. The record is from RefSeq and is a predicted model, not a curated record.